GACAGAGGGUGCAAACGUUGUUCGGAAUUACUGGGCGUAAAGCGCGUGUAGGCUGCUCAGCAAGUCGGAUGUGAAAGCCCUGGGCUUAACCUAGGAAGUGCAUUCGAAACUUCUGAGCUGGAGUUCUGGAGAGGAAGGCGGAAUUCUCGGUGUAGAGGUGAAAUUCGUAGAUAUCGAGAGGAACACCGGUGGCGAAGGCGGCCUUCUGGACAGUGACUGACGCUGAGACGCGAAAGCGUGGGGAGCGAACAGG
This 253-nucleotide ribosomal RNA is filed under the name uncultured bacterium. RNAcentral describes it as "partial 16S ribosomal RNA". It matches the Rfam family "Bacterial small subunit ribosomal RNA", at positions 524 to 776 of the family's 1533-position model. The record is from RNAcentral.